GGUAGGAUUCAUAGUCUAUUUGGUACUGGAAUGUUGAGUUAGUUAAUUAGCCCUAAUAUGCUGUUGCUGUUUCUUUUGUUUUAGGUUAAAUGGAAACCACCCUUGGGAGCUGGAUGCCUGUGUAGCCAUUCUGUCACGUCAGUGAAUUGCAAUGAGUGGAGGAGGAGAGCAGCCAGAUAUCCUCAGUGUUGGAAUCCUGGUCAAAGAAAGAUGGAAAGUGUUGAGGAAGAUUGGGGGUGGGGGCUUUGGAGAAAUUUACGAUGCCUUGGACAUGCUUACCAGGGAAAAUGUUGCACUGAAGGUGGAAUCAGCUCAACAACCGAAGCAAGUUCUGAAAAUGGAGGUUGCUGUAUUGAAAAAACUACAAGGCUGCAGAGCACAAGCUGAGAGUUGGGAAGAAGGGUUACUGUUACAGGAGAGCAACUCCAUCUCUUCUGCCUUCCCUCCUUGAAGUCUCCAGCUACUGCUGCAAACUAUAAAACCUGGACAGAAUGCUUGGAGUGGCUAUUUGAGGACUCUGAAAAGUAAAUAGUAGGAGGCAGAUUGGGGAAGAAGACCAGAAUUCAAAGUACCACUGAAGCGGCGGAAUGAACAGGAAGAUAGGAAGUCUCAACAAAGAAAUAGAAGACAUAAAGAAGAACUAACUGGAAAUUUUAGAACUGAGAAAUAAAGCAAUAGAAACGAAAAACUCACUGGAUGGGCUCAAUAGCAGAGUGGACUUGACAGAUAAUAAAUAAAUACACAGAGUCUCAGGGAUCUAAGAGAUAGUAUCACAAUAUCACAAGGUGAAACAUUUAUGUCAUCAGAGACAGAUUGAGAAGAAAACGAAUGUGAUGCAGCAAAAAUAUUUGAAGAAAUAAUGAUAUAUAGGUUGGAGGAAGAAAUAAAAUUGUUCCUAUUUGUAUAUGACAUGAUGGUAUGGUAUAUGUAGAAAAUCCCAAGGAAUUCAC
Molecule: RNA transcript, 950 nt
Organism: Talpa occidentalis (Iberian mole)
Lineage: Eukaryota; Metazoa; Chordata; Mammalia; Eulipotyphla; Talpidae
Gene name: tau-tubulin kinase 2-like
Exons: 5
Source: RefSeq, a predicted model, not a curated record